Molecule: transfer RNA, 75 nt
Filed under: Citrobacter freundii
Lineage: Bacteria; Pseudomonadati; Pseudomonadota; Gammaproteobacteria; Enterobacterales; Enterobacteriaceae
Also listed under: 8 other names
Description: tRNA-Phe
Rfam family: tRNA
About the family: Transfer RNA (tRNA) molecules are approximately 80 nucleotides in length. Their secondary structure includes four short double-helical elements and three loops (D, anti-codon, and T loops). Further hydrogen bonds mediate the characteristic L-shaped molecular structure. tRNAs have two regions of fundamental functional importance: the anti-codon, which is responsible for specific mRNA codon recognition, and the 3' end, to which the tRNAs corresponding amino acid is attached (by aminoacyl-tRNA synthetases). tRNAs cope with the degeneracy of the genetic code in two manners: having more than one tRNA (with a specific anti-codon) for a particular amino acid; and 'wobble' base-pairing, i.e. permitting non-standard base-pairing at the 3rd anti-codon position.
Source: RNAcentral
CCCGGAUAGCUCAGUCGGUAGAGCAGGGGAUUGAAAAUCCCCGUGUCCUUGGUUCGAUUCCGAGUCCGGGCACCA